UACGUAGGGGGCUAGCGUUGUCCGGAAUCAUUGGGCGUAAAGCGCGUGUAGGCGGCCCGAUAAGUCCGCUGUGAAAGUCCAGGGCUUAACCCUGGGAUGCCGGUGGAUACUGUCGGGCUCGAGUCCGGAAGAGGCGAGUGGAAUUCCUGGUGUAGCGGUGGAAUGCGCAGAUAUCAGGAGGAACACCAAUAGCGAAGGCGGCUCUCUGGUACGUGACUGACGCUGAGACGCGAAAGCGUGGGGAGCGAACAGG
Molecule: ribosomal RNA, 253 nt
Filed under: uncultured bacterium
Lineage: Bacteria
Description: partial 16S ribosomal RNA
Rfam family: Bacterial small subunit ribosomal RNA
Source: RNAcentral